This 406-nucleotide ribosomal RNA is filed under the name uncultured bacterium. Its description in RNAcentral is "partial 16S ribosomal RNA". It matches the Rfam family "Bacterial small subunit ribosomal RNA", at positions 30 to 526 of the family's 1533-position model. The record is from RNAcentral.
AUUGAACGCUGGCGGCAGGCUUAACACAUGCAAGUCGAACGAGUGGCGGACGGGUGAGUAAUGUCUGGGAAACUGCCUGAUGGAGGGGGAUAACUACUGGAAACGGUAGCUAAUACCGCAUACCAUCAGAUGUGCCCAGAUGGGAUUAGCUUGUUGGUGGGGUAACGGCUCACCAAGGCGACGAUCCCUAGCUGGUCUGAGCGGAUGACCCGCCACACCUGGACCUAGGCACGGUCCAGACUCCUACGGGAGGCAGCAGUGGGGAAUAUUGCACCAUGGGCGCAAGCCUGAUACAGCCAGUCCGCGUGUAUGAAGAAGGCCUUCGGGUUGUAAAGUACUUUCAGCGGGGAGGCGUUACCCGCAGGAGAAGCACCGGCUAACUCCGUGCCAGGCGCCGCGGUAAUUC